UCAAGGCACUCGCUCACCCAACGACGUGUCUGAUUGGUCGAAAUGAGAGGACGCCAACAUGGGACGGCCAAUCACAGCCAUCGAUAGAAGUUUCAAAGUGCUUCGAAACUUUAAUACUAAUCGUAAGGGAAAGACACGUGCAAGACGAACGAAGCUUCGAAGAGGAAUGCUGUACUGCGUCAAAAAUCAAGGCACUCGCUCACCCAACGACGUGUCUGAUUGGUCGAAAUGAUAGGACGCCAACAUGGGACGGCCAAUCACAGCCAUCGAUAGAAGUUUCAAAGUGCUUCGAAACUUUAAUACUAAUCGUAAGGGAAAGACACGUGCAAGACGAACGAAGCUUCGAAGAGGAAUGCUGUACUGCGUCACGAAUCGACGUACUCGCUUACACAGCGACGUGUCUGAUUGGUCGAAAUGAGAGGACGCCGAAUGAAACAACCAAUCACAGCCAUUGGUAGAAGUUUCGAAACUGUAAUGCUAAUCGUAAUGGAAUCGUUCUUACAAUAAAUAUCAGCGAAAAAAAUCGAAUAAUGUACUUUUUUUAGCAACACCUGUCUUGUAUUAUAUUUUAUAUUAUUGUAAUUA
Molecule: long non-coding RNA, 585 nt
Organism: Osmia lignaria (orchard mason bee)
Lineage: Eukaryota; Metazoa; Arthropoda; Insecta; Hymenoptera; Megachilidae
Source: RefSeq, a predicted model, not a curated record